RNAcentral lists this ribosomal RNA (374 nucleotides) under uncultured bacterium. RNAcentral's name for it is "bacterial SSU rRNA". It matches the Rfam family "Bacterial small subunit ribosomal RNA", at positions 521 to 895 of the family's 1533-position model. The record is from RNAcentral.
UAAUACGAAGGGGGCUAGCGUUGCUCGGAAUUACUGGGCGUAAAGGGCGCGUAGGCGGAUAGUUUAGUCAGAGGUAAAAGCCCAGGGCUCAACCUUGGAACUGCCUUUGAUACUGGCUAUCUUGAGUUCGGGAGAGGUGAGUGGAAUGCCGAGUGUAGAGGUGAAAUUCGUAGAUAUUCGGCGGAACACCAGUGGCGAAGGCGACUCACUGGCCCGAUACUGACGCUGAGGCGCGAAAGCGUGGGGAGCAAACAGGAUUAGAUACCCUGGUAGUCCACGCUGUAAACGAUGAGUGCUAGUUGUCGGCAUGCAUGCAUGUCGGUGACGCAGCUAACGCAUUAAGCACUCCGCCUGGGGAGUACGGUCGCAAGAUU